CAGCAGCCACGGGAAUACGUAGGGUGCGAGCGUUAAUCGGAAUUACUGGGCGUAAAGCGUGCGCAGGCGGUUUUGUAAGACAGGCGUGAAAUCCCCGGGCUCAACCUGGGAAUGGCACUUGUGACUGUAGAGCUGGAGUACGGCAGAGGGGGAUGGAACUCCGCGUGUAGCAGUGAAAUGCGUAGAUAUGCGGAGGAACACCGAUGGCGAAGGCAAUCCCCUGGGCCUGUACUGACGCUCAUGCACGAAAGCGUGGGGAGCAAACAGGAUUAGAUACCCGCGUAGUCCCUGUCUCUUAUAC
This 301-nucleotide ribosomal RNA is filed under the name uncultured bacterium. RNAcentral's name for it is "partial 16S ribosomal RNA". It matches the Rfam family "Bacterial small subunit ribosomal RNA", at positions 509 to 807 of the family's 1533-position model. The record is from RNAcentral.